GUAAAUGUCGCCGCGGCAGGUGCCCACCAUGGAAGCUUCUCAGCCCACGCAGCCCAUGGAAGACUCGGCUAGCUUAAGACUACAACUGAAACAGGAGAGGGAGGAGCAUGCGAAGGCCUUGGAGGAGGCAGCGGCAGCGGACCGCAAACGGCUGGACGAGGCUGCAGCGGUGGAGCGGCGGCGAUUAGACACAGAUGCGGCUGCUGAGCGGAGCCGCCUGGAUGAAGAGGCAGCUUCACUGCGGGCUCGCUUGGAUGGUGAGGGCGCGGAAGAGCGGCGGCGGAUGGCAGAAGCGGCCGCGGAGGAGGCGGGGGCAGUUCGAAAGCGCCUGGACGAGGACACUGCAGCGGUGAGGGCGCAGUUGGAUGAGGAAGCGGCAGCGGUUCGGAAACGCAAAGACGAGGAGGCGGCGGCGGAGCGCAAGCAGCUUGACGAGGCGGCUGCCGUGGUACGGAAGCAGUUUGAUGAUGAAGCGGUGGCGGAGCGCACACGGCUAGAUGCAGAAGCGGCGGCGGAGCGCACGCGGCGAGAUGCAGAGGUGGCGGCGGAGCGCAAGCAGCUUGACGAGGCGGCUGCCGUGGUACGGAAGCAGUUCGAUGACGAGGCGGUGGCGGAGCGCAUGCGGCUAGAUGCAGAAGCGGUGGUGGAGCGCACACGGCUAGAUGUGGAGGCGGCGGCGGAGCGCAAGCAGCUUGACGAGGCGGCUGCCGUGGUACGGAAGCAGCUCGAUGACGAGGCGGCGGUGGAGCGCACACGGCUAGAUGCAGAGGCCGUGGCUCGGAGGAUGCAGCUUGACGAGGCGGCAGCAGAGGAGCGGCGGCGUCUGGAUGAGCAGGCCGCAGAGGAGAGGCGGCAUCUGAACGACCUGGUAGGUGCGCUGCAGCCUCAGCUGGAGAACCUGAUGGCCAGGUUGGCGGCUGGAGGCCCGUCCUCUAGGGCGGCGCUUGCCGCUACAGCGCCCCAGAGCACUGGCAUGUUGAUCGGGCCAGUGCAGCCGUCUGCAGCAGUGGGUGUGGCUGCAGCAGUGGAGUUAUCGCCAGUGGCGUCCAUGCCGGCAGCACUGCCAGCGGCGACCGUACUUGCUGAUAAUCUGGAAGAAUUGGGACCUCAGGCCACUACAGCUGCUGCUGCUGCUACUACCGUGUCAGACAAAGCGGCGGCGGCAGCGGCAGCAGCAGUGGAACAGGAGCGGCGGCAGCUUGAGGAACAGGAGCGAAGGCGGCUUCAGGAUGCAAAGGCUGCGACG
This 1246-nucleotide long non-coding RNA is filed under the name Volvox carteri. Its description in RNAcentral is "long non-coding RNA (VCAR_LNC000160)". The record is from RNAcentral. Lineage: Eukaryota; Viridiplantae; Chlorophyta; Chlorophyceae; Chlamydomonadales; Volvocaceae.